RNAcentral lists this unclassified non-coding RNA (680 nucleotides) under Hevea brasiliensis (rubber tree). The record is from RNAcentral. Lineage: Eukaryota; Viridiplantae; Streptophyta; Magnoliopsida; Malpighiales; Euphorbiaceae.
CGGCGUCCUAUUUGCUAUUGUAUAUGCUUGCUAGUCAUAUAGUUGGGUCUUUUUGGUACUUGCUAGCUGUGGAACGCUAUGAUACAUGCUGGCAGCAAGCUUGUAAACACAAUGCAACGUGCAACACUGAUUUCUUGUACUGUGGGAAUCAGUACAUGACGGGUUAUAAUAGAUGGAGCAGCAUAAGUGAAUCAGUUUUAAACAAUGCUUGCCCUGCAGAUAGUGACAACUCACCAUUUGAUUUCGGGAUUUUUGAUCAGGCUUUAUCGUCUGGCAUCAUUUAUUCCAUGAAAUUCGUGGCUAAAUAUUGUUAUUGUCUGUGGUGGGGGCUGCAGAACUUAAGUACCCUCGGACAGGGACUUCAAACUAGCACAUAUCCCGGGGAGUCUAUUUUCUCUAUAGGAUUGGCUAUACUUGGGCUCAUUCUCUUUGCAUUAUUGAUUGGUAACAUGCAGACGUAUCUACAAUCUCUUACCAUUCGACUAGAAGAGAUGAGAGUUAAAAGGCGUGACUCAGAACAGUGGAUGCAUCAUCGGUUACUCCCACAAGAUCUCCGGGAACGGGUUAGGCGCUAUGAUCAGUAUAAGUGGCAGGAAACACGUGGAGUGGAUGAAGAGAAUAUAGUCCAGAGCUUGCCCAAAGAUCUUAGGAGGGAUAUCAAACGUCAUCUUUGUCUGGCU